Molecule: ribosomal RNA, 368 nt
Filed under: Mortierellales sp.
Lineage: Eukaryota; Fungi; Mortierellomycota
Description: LSU rRNA
Source: RNAcentral
AAACGCUUGAAACCAGUUAUGCGAUUCAGAAAUCAGCUUUGGUUGAGUUGGAAUGGGGGAGAUUCGGACCGCAAGGCCGUUCUUUCUUUUAUCUUAUUCACACAGAGUGCACUUUUUGUUUGGCAGGUCAACAUCAGUUUGUUUCGCCGGAUAAAACCUUGGGGAAGGUGACAGCUUAGGCUGUGUUAUAGCCCCUUGGCGAUACGGCGGAGUGGACUGAGGUUCAGCAGCAUGUGCUUUCGGGCAAGGUCGACUGGUUGCUACCGGGUGGUUUGGGUUAAAAUAAUUUAUUUUGGCCUUCGUCCAUCUUGUACUCGGUCAGCUCGACUCUUCCAUGCUAAGGAUGUUGACAUAAUGGUUUUAAUCGA